Molecule: RNA transcript, 1432 nt
Organism: Juglans microcarpa x Juglans regia
Lineage: Eukaryota; Viridiplantae; Streptophyta; Magnoliopsida; Fagales; Juglandaceae
Gene name: protein TAPETUM DETERMINANT 1-like
Exons: 4
Source: RefSeq, a predicted model, not a curated record
CCUAGCCUGCGUUUGCGCAGUUCUUUUGUUAAUAAGCUAGACCUUUGCACGCUCCAUGUACUUAUAUACCACUCCAGGGGGCAACUACCACAUGUACCCAACUUCUCACCUUUUUCUUCAUUGUUCUCAUAGUGAUUGAAAUUUGAUUUUCUUCAAGCAAGAUGACAUGAGAAGCAAGGGUAUCUCACGAGCAGCCAAACUGCCAAUAAUAUCUAAGAACUAGAACAUUCUGCUACUCGAUCAAGAACUAUCAUGCUCUCUUAUCAUGUCUCCAUCCUCUACUUGAUGAUGCUUAUCAUUGCAUUCUGCAAUCUUGGACUGCAUUCAGCAGCUUCUAGUACGGAGUUUAAACAUUCAUUCCGUGGAGAUAACAACCAUUCAAGAAAGGUACAUGUAAAGUCAGAAAAGGCAUACUCAAGCUACAGAGAGCUUAUGGUGCAUGGCGGUUGCACGAAUAGAGAUAUAAGCAUCUCACAAAGUAGAGAUACCACAUCUGGAAUCCCAAGGUACAUAGUCCAGAUAGUCAACACUUGUGUUUCCGGAUGUGCUCCUUCAAAGAUUCGUCUGCACUGUGGUUGGUUUGCGUCUGCAAGAAUAAUAAAUCCAAGAACCUUCAAGAGGCUAUCCUAUGAUGAUUGCUUGGUUAAUGGAGGAAAGCCUUUGAAGAGCCGCCAAAUCAUCAGCUUUACUUACUCAAACUCUUUUAUGUACCCACUUGCAUUCAAGUCUGCUAAGUUCUGCUGAACAGCAAACAAGUCCAAAGGGCAUGAAGUAAUUGAAACAUUUUGCUAAAUGAUUAAAAUACCAAACCAAAGCAAAGAAUCCAUGAACCCCAAGAAAUUCAGGACUCCCUCGAAUAAAACCCCGUCACAAUAUUAAUUAGCAUUUUAAAACCUAGCAUUUAUAGCCGAGACUGUCCAGUGAACCUUCUGUUCUCUCUUUUAAAACCCUAUGAGUUUUUGUUGGGUUCCAUUUCACUUCUGUCUUAUUUUAGACUCCCCGAUCGAGUCAAAAGCUACUGUUACAUGCGUGGCUGGUGCAUGGAAGAUCUGAAACAUGAUGCUUCUUUAACAGUCCGUGUGCUCUAUCUUCCUCUCACAGUUGUUUUCUUUUUUCCACACAGAAGAGAUAGAAGUUUUCUUACACUAGAUCUGAAGACGUGGGGUCUUCUUUCUAAGGAUGAUUGGAGCAAUACGGAGUGUCAGCAGUGGCUGUGGCUGGUUGGGAUGGAAUAACUUACAAAAUAUUGAGAGAAGAAGCAGUAGCACGGGAUUCUCUCUCUCUCUCUCUCUGUCUCUCAGUUGCCAAAAGAGGUUGGAUGUUGGCGUAAGCGCUCACUGCUCAAGAACAGAAACUGAGGUAAAACACCAGAAGCCCGGUUGUAUAUUACUGUGUUGGACAUUGUCGAGCUGAAUUUCUGUAUGUAUCUAUG